RNAcentral lists this ribosomal RNA (355 nucleotides) under uncultured bacterium. Its description in RNAcentral is "bacterial SSU rRNA". It matches the Rfam family "Bacterial small subunit ribosomal RNA", at positions 8 to 354 of the family's 1533-position model. The record is from RNAcentral.
AGAGUUUGAUCAUGGCUCAGGACGAACGCUGGCGGCGUGCCUAACACAUGCAAGUCGAGCGGAGAAUGCAAGAUGUUUACAUUGAGCAUUCUUAGCGGCGGACGGGUGAGUAACACGUGGGUAACCUGCCUCAGAGUGGGGGAUAGCCUUUCGAAAGGAAGAUUAAUACCGCAUAAGCUUGUAGCAUCGCAUGGUGCAGCAAGAAAAGGAGCAAUCCGCUCUGAGAUGGACCCGCGGCGCACUAGCUAGUUGGUGAGGUAACGGCUCACCAAGGCCACGAUGCGUAGCCGACCUGAGAGGGUGGUCGGCCACAUUGGAACUGAGACACGGUCCAGACUCCUACGGGAGGCAGCAG